This 202-nucleotide long non-coding RNA is filed under the name Medicago truncatula (barrel medic). RNAcentral's name for it is "long non-coding RNA (MTRU_LNC003723)". Lineage: Eukaryota; Viridiplantae; Streptophyta; Magnoliopsida; Fabales; Fabaceae. The record is from RNAcentral.
CCUAGCAAAACUAAUGAAUGGAGUUGAACCUAUACUGGUUUGUCUAGGAAAAAAAAACAAUCGCGAGUUAGCAGAAGUUAGAUCUUGUAUAAACUCGACUGACCAUUACGUAUCUUGUGGUAUAGGUGUAGGAGAUUUAAAUUGUGAUCCUUCACAAGAUGUAGUGUGGGAAUAAAAUAUUACUAUGUAAUCUCUAUGCAAG